Molecule: ribosomal RNA, 699 nt
Filed under: uncultured bacterium
Lineage: Bacteria
Description: bacterial SSU rRNA
Rfam family: Bacterial small subunit ribosomal RNA
Source: RNAcentral
UAGUCCACGCCGUAAACGAUGAUUACUCGGUAUUGGCGAUACACUGUCAGUACCCAAGCGAAAGUUUUAAGUAAUCCACCUGGGAAGUACGUCGGCAACGAUGAAACUCAAAGGAAUUGACGGGGGCCCGCACAAGCGGUGGAGCAUGUGGUUUAAUUCGAUGAUACGCGAGGAACCUUACCAAGGCUUAAAUGCAGAGCGACGUACCCGGAAACGGGUAUUUCUUCGGACGGUCUGCAAGGUGCUGCAUGGUUGUCGUCAGCUCGUGCUGUGAAGUGUCGGGUUAAGCCCCAUAACGAGCGCAACCCCUAUCUUUAGUUGCCAGCGAGUAAUGUCGGGGACUCUAGAGAAACUGCCAGUGUAAACUGUGAGGAAGGUGGGGAUGACGUCAAAUCAUCACGGCCCUUACGUCUUGGGCUACACACGUGCUACAAUGGUAGAUACAAUGAGCAGUGACCUGGUGACAGGUAACUAAUCUUCAAAGUCUAUCUCAGUUCGGAUUGAAGUCUGCAACUCGACUUCAUGAAGCUGGAAUCGCUAGUAAUCGGAUAUCAGCCAUGAUCCGGUGAAUACGUUCCCGGGCCUUGUACACACCGCCCGUCAAGCCAUGGAAGCCGGGGGUGCCUGAAGUCAGUAACCGCAAGGAGCUGCCUAGGGUAAAACUGGUAACUGGGGCUAAGUCGUAACAAGGUAACCGUA